CCUACGGGGGGCAGCAGUAGGGAAUUUUCCGCAAUGGGCGAAAGCCUGACGGAGCAAUACCGCGUGAGGGAUGACGGCCUAUGGGUUGUAAACCUCUUUUUUCAGGGAGGAAUAAAUGACGUGUACCUGAAGAAUAAGCAUCGGCUAACUCCGUGCCAGCAGCCGCGGUAAGACGGAGGAUGCAAGUGUUAUCCGGAAUCACUGGGCGUAAAGCGUCUGUAGGUGGUCCAAUAAGUCAACUGUUAAAUCUUGAGGCUCAACCUCAAAACCGCAGUCGAAACUAUUAGACUAGAGUAUAGUAGGGGUAAAGGGAAUUUCCAGUGGAGCGGUGAAAUGCGUAGAUAUUGGAAGGAACACCGAUGGCGAAGGCACUUUACUGGGCUAUUACUAACACUCAGAGACGAAAGCUAGGGUAGCAAAUGGGAUUAGAUACCCGGGUAGUC
RNAcentral lists this ribosomal RNA (443 nucleotides) under uncultured bacterium. Its description in RNAcentral is "bacterial SSU rRNA". It matches the Rfam family "Bacterial small subunit ribosomal RNA", at positions 338 to 795 of the family's 1533-position model. The record is from RNAcentral.